UGGGGAAUAUUGCACAAUGGGCGCAAGCCUGAUGCAGCCAUGCCGCGUGUAUGAAGAAGGCCUUCGGGUUGUAAAGUACUUUCAGCAGUGAGGAAGGUGGUGUGUUUAAUACGCACAUCACUUGACGUUAGCUGCAGAAGAAGCACCGGCUAACUCCGUGCCAGCAGCCGCGGUAAUACGGAGGGUGCGAGCGUUAAUCGGAAUUACUGGGCGUAAAGCGCAUGCAGGUGGUUUGUUAAGUCAGAUGUGAAAGCCCGGGGCUCAACCUCGGAAUAGCAUUUGAAACUGGCAGACUAGAGUACUGUAGAGGGGGGUAGAAUUUCAGGUGUAGCGGUGAAAUGCGUAGAGAUCUGAAGGAAUACCGGUGGCGAAGGCGGCCCCCUGGACAGAUACUGACACUCAGAUGCGAAAGCGUGGGGAGCAAACAGG
Molecule: ribosomal RNA, 429 nt
Filed under: uncultured bacterium
Lineage: Bacteria
Description: bacterial SSU rRNA
Rfam family: Bacterial small subunit ribosomal RNA
Source: RNAcentral